RNAcentral lists this ribosomal RNA (571 nucleotides) under Ambrosiella catenulata. RNAcentral describes it as "eukaryotic LSU rRNA". It matches the Rfam family "Eukaryotic large subunit ribosomal RNA", at positions 44 to 637 of the family's 3401-position model. Lineage: Eukaryota; Fungi; Ascomycota; Sordariomycetes; Microascales; Ceratocystidaceae. The record is from RNAcentral.
CAAUAAGCGGAGGAAAAGAAACCAACAGGGAUUGCCCUAGUAACGGCGAGUGAAGCGGCAACAGCUCAAAUUUGAAAUCUGGCUACUUUGUAGUCCGAGUUGUAAUUUGUAGAGGAUGCUUUUGGUGAGGUGCUUUCUGAGUUCCCUGGAACGGGACGCCAGAGAGGGUGAGAGCCCCGUACAGUUAGCAACCGAUCCUUUGUAUAGCUCCUUCGACGAGUCGAGUAGUUUGGGAAUGCUGCUCUAAAUGGGAGGUAUAUCUCUUCUAAAGCUAAAUAUAGGCUAGAGACCGAUAGCGCACAAGUAGAGUGAUCGAAAGAUGAAAAGCACUUUGAAAAGAGAGUUAAACAGCACGUGAAAUUGUUGAAAGGGAAGCGCCUAUGACCAGACUUGUUUCUAUCAGUUUUGGUAGUUUUCGGACUGCUUUACUCUGUUAGUACAGGCCAACAUCAGUUUGUUGUCGGGGAGAAAGGCUUAGGGAAUGUGGCUCCCUCGGGAGUGUUAUAGACCUUUGCAUAAUACCCUUCGGCAGACUGAGGACCGCGCUUCGGCAAGGAUGUUGGCGUAAUGG